GAUGAACGCUGGCGGCGUGCCUAAUACACGCAAGUCGAGCGAACGGACGAGAAGCUUGCUUCUCUGAUGUUAGCGGCGGACGGGUGAGUAACACGUGGAUAACCUACCUAUAAGACUAGGAUAACUUCGGGAAACCGGAGCUAAUACCGGAUGAUAUCUUGAACCGCAUGGUUCAAAAGUGAAAGACGGUCUUGCUGUCACUUAUAGAUGGAUCCGCGCUGCAUUAGCUAGUUGGUAAGGUAACGGCUUACCAAGGCAACGAUGCAUAGCCGACCUGAGAGGGUGAUCGGCCACACUGGAACUGAGACACGGUCCAGACUCCUACGGGAGGCAGCAGUAGGGAAUCUUCCGCAAUGGGCGAAAGCCUGACGGAGCAACGCCGCGUGAGUGAUGAAGGUCUUCGGAUCGUAAAACUCUGUUAUUAGGGAAGAACAUAUGUGUAAGUAACUGUGCACAUCUUGACGGUACCUAAUCAGAAAGCCACGGCUAACUACGUG
RNAcentral lists this ribosomal RNA (497 nucleotides) under uncultured bacterium. RNAcentral's name for it is "partial 16S ribosomal RNA". It matches the Rfam family "Bacterial small subunit ribosomal RNA", at positions 28 to 507 of the family's 1533-position model. The record is from RNAcentral.